AGCAGAUUCUCCAAGAUGGCGGAGGUCCGCGGGCUGGGGGGCCGGAAGCACUUGGAGCACAAAUGUGACGUCACUGACUGUGACGUCAGCGCGGCUGCGAGCAGACUCUCCAAGAUGGCGGAGGUGAGCGGGCGGCGGAGCAGGAGUCACUUGGAGCCCGGCUGCACAAGCCGAGUCGCCGGCGAAGACUCAAGAGUCAAAGAUGUCCCUAUGUCUCAACAUAUUCGGAGGUCUCCAGCAAGACCCGAGGACCCGGACGAUGACUUGCUUCCUGGGGACAUGAAUGACAACUGGGGAAUAGCGGCCAGCCUCACCCCCUCAGCAGAAGAAGACAUUCAGGAUUUACAGGAGGCGGAGGAGGAGGCAAAGGCCCAACCUGUCCAGAUCCUCCUGACCAAUGAGGACCAGCAUAGCUUUGAGCUGGAUGCCGCCGCCCUGGAGAGAAUCCUGCUGCAGGACCAUGUGAAGGACCUCAAUGUGGUGGUGGUGUCGGUGGCCGGUGCCUUCCGCAAAGGCAAAUCCUUCCUGCUGGACUUCAUGCUGCGCUACAUGCACAAUCAGCAAAGUGAGGCGUGGAUCGGCGGCGACGACGAGCCCUUGACCGGCUUCACCUGGAGAGGAGGAUGCGAGAGGGAGACCACAGGGAUUCAGGUCUGGAGCGAAGUCUUCGUGGUGGACAGGCCGGACGGCAGCCAAGUGGCCGUCCUCCUGGUGGACACCCAGGGAGCCUUUGACAGCCAGUCCACCAUCAAGGACUGUGCCACAGUCUUUGCCCUCAGCACCAUGACCAGCUCCAUGCAGGUGUACAAUCUCUCGCAGAACAUUCAAGAGGACGACCUUCAGCAUCUUCAGCUGUUCACGGAGUACGGCCGCCUCGCCAUGGAGGAGAUCUACCUGAAACCUUUCCAGUCCCUGAUGUUUCUGAUCCGUGACUGGAGUUUCCCCUACGAACACAACUACGGCCCGGAAGGAGGCUACGACUUUCUUGAAAAACGUCUUCAGGUCAAGCAGCACCAACACCAGGAGUUGCAGAACGUCCGCAAGCACAUCCACUCCUGCUUCUCCAACAUCGGCUGCUUCCUGCUGCCUCACCCCGGCCUCAAUGUGUCCACCAACCGUUACUUUGACGGCCGGCUCAGAGAAAUCGACGGGGACUUCAAGGAGCAGUUGUCCCGGCUGGUGCCUCUCCUCCUGGCGCCGGAGCGACUUGUGGAGAAGGAGAUCGGAGGCAACAAGGUCACAUGUCGAGAUCUUGUGGAAUACUUCAAGGCUUACAUAAAGAUCUACCAGGGCGAGGAGCUGCCUCAUCCAAAGUCCAUGCUGCAGGCCACGGCUGAAGCAAACAAUCUGACUGCUGUCGCCGGAGCCAAAGACAUGUACAGCAAGAACAUGGAACAGGUGUGUGGCGGCGACCAGCCCUACAUGGCCCCCGCUGAUCUGGAGCGCUGCCACGAGGAGUUCCGUGAGACCUCUGUGCGCUACUUCCGCUCGGUGAAGAAGAUGGGCGGCGAGGAGUUCUGCCAGCGCUACCAGAGCCAGCUGGAGGCGGAGCUGGACGAGGCCUUGGGCAACUUCUGCAAGCACAACGAGGGCAAGAACAUCUUCUACGCCGCCCGCACGCCCGCCACGCUCUUCGCCGUCAUGUUAGUGGCCUACGUGGUGUCGGGCGUGACGGGCCUGCUGGGCCUGAGCACGCUGGCGACGCUGGCCAACCUGCUCAUGGGCCUGGCACUGAUGUCGCUCUGCGUCUGGGCCUACGUCAAGUAUUCUGGAGAGUUCCGUGAGGUGGGGACGAUUAUAGACCUGGUGGCGGAGACGCUGUGGGAACAGGUGGUCAAGCCGCUGAGUGAACAUUACGUGGAAGACAAGGUGAGGCAGACGGUGGUCAACUCUCUGAAAGCCAGCCUGACAGAAGGCAGCUCGCAGCAACACGCCAAGUUAAAGACGCACUGACGCACUUCCUGUCGUCAACAACAACACCAAAGCUGACCUCCCUCGCUGUGGCCUUUUUGCCAAAAACAACAACAUCAUGCCUUCCACUUCUUCACAGCGUUCUUGGUUAAAAAAAAAGCACAAUCAGGAAGUUCGAAUGUGAAUUGUUUGGACAGUAUUACUGAGAAUCACAUGUAAAAAUAGGAAGUGUCACUCAAACUGUAACAAGACGCCAUAUUGCUUUCAUUUUUACAACAGCGUGCUAAGUUAAGCGCUAAUAACCUUUAAUGUCGGACUUAACAUCUUUACUACUUAGUCGACUUCUUCAUAGGAACACUGACUUUUCACCAUUUUUAUUUAGCUUAAAGACAAAACUGAAUUAGCUUAGCAUGACGGUUAACCAUUUUUCAUAGAGUCCCAAAAUAUAUUUUUGUUUUCAUAAAAUGAAAACAGUUUAGCUUGCUGUUAGUGUGAAGGCGGAACAAAAUGAUCUUAGCUAACGUCCAAAUGCCAUUUCUCGCUUCCAAAAGAGGUUUAUAAGUACAAAGUUAUGUUUAAAAGCCGACUAUGACAUUAUGUGGUACAACUGGUGAUUUUUAAAUGCUAACGUUUGCUACUUCCGAUCUCCAGGCUAAUCAAAGCUAAUUUCCCAGCCAGUUCCUGCCCGUUUAACUUUUCAUCGCCAUAAAAAUAUUUUCUAAAAAUGAAAUGUCUAACUCAACGAAACAACGUAAAGACUGUUUUCUCUCCCUUUAGUCGUCGCACUUUAACAUCGAUAAUACAUAGUUUGUGUACUUUAUAGAAACGCCUUGAUACAUUAGCUUAGCUUGAAGGCUAACCUUUUUUUAUAAAGUUUAGUUCCAAAAGAUCUUUUUGUUUUCAUAAAAUAAUUGUAGGUAUUAAAUAGUUUAAGUGAAAGCAGGCUAUUAUUGGCUUAGUAGUGAUCUUUAGGAGCUGUUUAACGCUAGCAGUUGCUAAUCAAAACACAUUUGCUCCAGUCUUCGACCCACAAAAACUUUUAUUCUUAACACAAAUUUUAUGUUACGUGAACACUAUUUUUGUGCUUUAAUCACCACACUUGUUUAACAUCUAUAGUACUUAAAGCAACAUAAAAAUACUUAUUGCUGACUUGACAGUUUAGCUUGCUGUUAGUGUGAAGGCGGAACAAAAUGAUCUUAGCUAACGUCCAAAGGCCAUUUUUCGCUUCCAAAAGAGGUUUAUAAGUACAAAGUUAUGUUUAAAAGCCGACUAUGACAUUAUGUGGUACAACUGGUGAUUUUUAAAUGCUAACGUUUGCUACUUCCGGUCUCCAUGCUAAUCAAAGCUAAUUUCCUAGCCUGUUCCCGCCCGUUUAAAUUUUCACCGCCAUAAAAAUAUUUUCUAAAAAUGAAAUGUCUAACUCAACGAAACAACGUGAAGACUGUUUUCUCCCUUUAGUCGUCGCACUUCUUUAACAUCGAUAAUACAUAGUUUGUGUACUUUAUAGAAACGCCUUGAUACAUUAGCUUAGCUUGAAGGCUAACCUUUUUUUAUAAAGUUUAGUCCCAAAAGAUCUUUUUGUUUUCAUAAAAUAAUUGUAGGUAUUAAAUAGUUUAAGCGAAAGCAGGCUAUUAUUGGCUUAGUAGUGAUCUUUAGGAGCUGUUUAACGCUAGCAGUUGCUAAUCAAAACACAUUUGCUCCAGUCUUCGACCCACAAAAAGUUUUAUUCUUAACACAAAUUUUAUGUUACGUGAACACUAUUUUUGUGCUUUAAUCACCACACUUGUUUAACAUCUAUAGUACUUAAAGCAACAUAGAAAUACUUAUUGCUAACUUGACAGUUUAGCUUGCUGUUAGUGUGAAGGCGGAACAAAAUGAUCUUAGCUAACUUCCAAAUGCCAUUUCUCGCUUCCAAAAGAGGUUUAUAAGUACAAAGUUGUGUGUUUAAAAGCCGACUAUGACAUUAUGUGGUACAACUGGUGAUUUUUAAAUGCUAACGUUUGCUACUUCCGAUCUCCAUGCUCAUCAAAGCUAAUUUCCUAGCCUGUUCCCGCCCGUUUAAAUUUUCACCGCCAUAAAAAUAUUUUCUAAAAAUGAAAUGUCUAACUCAACGAAACAACGUGAAGACUGUUUUCUCCCUUUAGUCAUCGCACUUCUUUAACAUCGAUAAUACAUAGUUUGUGUACUUUAUAGAAACGCCUUGAUAAAUUAGCUUAGCUUGAAGGCUAACCUUUUUUUAUAAAGUUUAGUCCCAAAAGAUCUUUUUGUUUUCAUAAAAUAAUUGUAGGUAUUAAAUAGUUUAAGCGAAAGCAGGCUAUUAUUGGCUUAGUAGUUAUCUUUAGGAGCUGUUUAACGCUAGCAGUUGCUAAUCAAAACACAUUUGCUCCAGUCUUCGACCCACAAAAAGUUUUAUUCUUAACACAAAUUUUAUGUUACGUGAACACUAUUUUUGUGCUUUAAUCACCACACUUGUUUAACAUCUAUAGUACUUAAAGCAACAUAGAAAUACUUAUUGCUAACUUGACAGUUUAGCUUUCUGUUAGUGUGAAGGCGGAACAAAAUGAUCUUAGCUAACGUCCAAAUGCCAUUUCUCGCUUCCAAAAGAGGUUUAUAAGUACAAAGUUGUGUGUUUAAAAGCCGACUAUGACAUUAUGUGGUACAACUGGUGAUCUUUAAGUGCUAACGUUUGCUACUUCCGGUCUCCAUGCUCAUCAAAGCUAAUUUCCUAGCCUGUUCCCGCCCGUUUAACUUUUCACCGCCAUAAAAAUAUUUUCUAAAAAUGAAAUGUCUAACUCAACAAAACAACGUGAAGACUGUUUUCUCUCCCUUUAGUCGUCGGACUUAUUUAACAUCGAUAAUACAUAGUUUGUAUACUUUAUAGAAACGCUUUGAUAAGUUAGCUUAGCUUGAAGGCUAACCUUUUUUCAUAAAGUUUAGUCCCAAAAUAGAUUUUUGUUUUCAUAAAAUUAUAGAUAUAAAAUAGUUUAAGCGAAAGCAGGCUAUUAUUGGCUUAGUAGUGAUCUUUAGGAGCUGUUUAACGCUAGCAGUUGCUAAUCAAAACACAUUUGCUCCAGUCUUCGACCCACAAAAAGUUUUAUUCUUAACACAAAUUUUAUGUUACGUGAACACUAUUUUUGUGCUUUAAUCACCACACUUGUUUAACAUCUAUAGUACUUAAAGCAACAUAGAAAUACUUAUUGCUAACUUGACAGUUUAGCUUGCUGUUAGUGUGAAGGCGGAACAAAAUGAUCUUAGCUAACUUCCGAAUGCCAUUUCUCGCUUCCAAAAGAGGUUUAUAAGUACAAAGUUGUGUGUUUAAAAGCCGACUCUGACAUUAUGUGGUACAAUUGGUGAUCUUUAAGUGCUAACGUUUGCUACUUCCGGUCUCCAUGCUAAUCAAAGCUAAUUUCCUAGCCUGUUCCCGCCUGUUUAAAUUUUCACCACCAUAAAAAUAUUUUCUAAAAAUGAAAUGUCUAACUCAACGAAACAACGUAAAGACUGUUUUCUCUCCCUUUAGUCGUCGCACUUUAACAUUGAUAAUACAUAGUUUGUAUACGUUAUAGAAACGCCUUGAUACAUUAGCUUAGCUUGAAAGCUAACCUUUUUUUUUUUUUAAAUGACUCGUUAUGUCUAAUGUUGCGUUCAAAUGUCAGUUCUUGCUUCAUAAAAUGGUUUAUGGGUCAUUGCUCGUUUAAAAGCAGACUACGGUAGAAGUAGUAAGCCUCAAGUGCUGCCUUAAGCUAGCACUUUCUACUUCCUGUCCGAAUGCUCAUCAAAGAAAAUUAACUCGAGACUCCAACUAAGGACCUUUUGACUUUGCAGCCUCCGAAAAACGGUGUAUUUCUUAAAAGUCUGACGUCAACACGAAGACUGUUUUCGCCCGCUUGUUGAUUCUCAGGAGCUAUUAGACGCACGCUGUUUAUUCCCUUUUCCGUGACUGCAGGUGGAACUUGGGUAUUGAAAUAACCUUUACGCGUUUUAGUUCCCUUCUCCGUGACUGCAGGUGGAACUUGGAUAUUUAAAUAGCCUUUACGCGUUUUAGUUCCCUUCUCCGUGACUGCAGGUGGAACUUGGAUGUUGAAAUAGCCUUUACGCGUUUUAGUUCCCUUCUCGGUGACUGCAGGUGGAACUUGGGUAUUGAAAUAGCCUUUACGCGUUUUAGUUCCCUACUUCGUGACUGCAGGUGGAACUUGGAUAUUUAAAUAACCUUUACGCGUUUUAGUUCCCUUUUCGGUGACUGCAGGUGGAACUUGGAUAUUUAAAUAACCUUUACGCGUUUUAGUUCCCUUCUCGGUGACUGCAGGUGGAACUUGGGUAUUGAAAUAGCCUUUACGCGUUUUAGUUCCCUACUUCGUGACUGCAGGUGGAACUUGGAUAUUUAAAUAACCUUUACGCGUUUUAGUUCCCUUCUCGGUGACUGCAGGUGGAACUUGGGUAUUGAAAUAGCCUUUACGCGUUUUAGUUCCCUACUUCGUGACUGCAGGUGGAACUUGGAUAUUUAAAUAGCCUUUUCGCGUUUUAGAGCCAAUCAAGGUUUGUUUGGGGUCAAUUAAAAACUGUUGCUGUAGCGAACUUUCUUUGGAACUGUUCAUAGACCGUCCUGUUUGGGAGGACGAUAGAAACAUGAUUAUCAGGUUGAUUUGUGUGGAAUAUGCCUGGCCACCUUUUUAAGAACAUUUGUGGUAUUUUAUUUUUGAAUAAAGUGUUUACCGUAAGAAUAAAAUCAUACAAGUCA
Molecule: RNA transcript, 6646 nt
Organism: Nerophis ophidion (straightnose pipefish)
Lineage: Eukaryota; Metazoa; Chordata; Actinopteri; Syngnathiformes; Syngnathidae
Gene name: atlastin-2-like
Exons: 16
Source: RefSeq, a predicted model, not a curated record